ACUUAGAUAGCUUAUAUAGAGCGUGAUACUGAAGAUAUCAAGGAAACUUAAAGUUUCUAAGUA
RNAcentral lists this transfer RNA (63 nucleotides) under Epicauta gorhami. Its description in RNAcentral is "tRNA-Phe". Lineage: Eukaryota; Metazoa; Arthropoda; Insecta; Coleoptera; Meloidae. The record is from RNAcentral.